GAUGAACGCUGGCGGCGUGUCUAAGGCAUGCAAGUCGAACGGACUGUUAUUUGUAGCAAUACUUAGAACAGUUAGUGGCAAACGGGUGCGUAACACAUUGGUAACCUGCCUCAAAGUCGGGCAUAAUCCCGCGAAAGUGGGACUAAUUCCACGAUGGUCAUCGAAGGUGAGAUUCCUUCGAUGUAAAGUCGCAAGACGCUUUGAGAGGGGCCUAUGGCCUAUCAGCUUGUUGGUGAGGUAACGGCUCACCAAGGCUAUGACGGGUAGGGGGUGUGAGAGCACGACCCCCCUCACUGGGACUGAGACACUGCCCAGACACCUACGGGUGGCUGCAGUCGAGAAUAUUCCCCAAUGGCCGAAAGGCUGAGGGAGCGACGCCGCGUGCAGGAAUAAGGCCUUC
Molecule: ribosomal RNA, 400 nt
Filed under: uncultured bacterium
Lineage: Bacteria
Description: bacterial SSU rRNA
Rfam family: Bacterial small subunit ribosomal RNA
Source: RNAcentral